This 248-nucleotide ribosomal RNA is filed under the name uncultured bacterium. Its description in RNAcentral is "partial 16S ribosomal RNA". It matches the Rfam family "Bacterial small subunit ribosomal RNA", at positions 56 to 334 of the family's 1533-position model. The record is from RNAcentral.
UGCAAGUCGAGCGCACCUUCGGGUGAGCGGCGGACGGGUUAGUAACGCGUGGGAACAUACCCUUUUCUACGGAAUAGCCUCGGGAAACUGAGAGUAAUACCGUAUACGCCCUUCGGGGGAAAGAUUUAUCGGUGAAGGAUUGGCCCGCGUUUGAUUAGAUAGUUGGUGGGGUAAUGGCCUACCAAGUCUACGAUCAAUAGCUGGUUUGAGAGGAUGAUCAGCAACACUGGGACUGAGACACGGCCCAG